Molecule: small nuclear RNA, 104 nt
Organism: Suncus etruscus (white-toothed pygmy shrew)
Lineage: Eukaryota; Metazoa; Chordata; Mammalia; Eulipotyphla; Soricidae
Source: RefSeq, a predicted model, not a curated record
AUGCUCUCUUCGGCAGCACAUAUACUAAAAUUGGAACGAUACAGGGAAUAGCAUGGCCCCUACGCAAGGAUGACAUGUAAAUUCGUGAGGCAUUCCAUAUUAAA